RNAcentral lists this ribosomal RNA (305 nucleotides) under uncultured bacterium. Its description in RNAcentral is "bacterial SSU rRNA". It matches the Rfam family "Bacterial small subunit ribosomal RNA", at positions 338 to 641 of the family's 1533-position model. The record is from RNAcentral.
CCUACGGGGGGCAGCAGUGAGGAAUAUUGGUCAAUGGGCGAGAGCCUGAACCAGCCAAGUCGCGUGAGGGAAGACGGUCCUAUGGAUUGUAAACCUCUUUUGCCGGGGAGCAAAAAGCGGUACGCGUACCGCAUCGAGAGUACCCGGAGAAAAAGCAUCGGCUAACUCCGUGCCAGCAGCCGCGGUAAUACGGAGGAUGCGAGCGUUAUCCGGAUUUAUUGGGUUUAAAGGGUGCGCAGGCGGAAGCGCAAGUCAGCGGUAAAAUUGAGAGGCUCAACCUCUUCCCGCCGUUGAAACUGCGUUUU